Molecule: unclassified non-coding RNA, 344 nt
Filed under: soil metagenome
Description: partial contains 5.8S ribosomal RNA, internal transcribed spacer 2, and large subunit ribosomal RNA
Rfam family: 5.8S ribosomal RNA (bases 5-120)
Source: RNAcentral
GAUGAGAACGCAGCGAAAUGCGAUAAGUAAUGCGAAUUGCAGAAUUUCCGUGAGUCAUCGAAUCUUUGAACGCACAUUGCGCCCACUGGUAUUCCGGUGGGCAUGCCUGUUCGAGCGUCAUUAUCCUCCCUCAAACCCCGGGUUUGGUGUUGGACCCAAGUUGUGUGAACAACUGGUCUCAAAGACAAUGACGGCGUCCGUGGGACCCUCGGUGCAACGAGCUUUUAGGAGCACGCAUCGAGUUGCAAGGACCUUCCGGGCCGGUCUCCUUUACCAUUUUACAAGGUUGACCUCGGAUCAGGUAGGAAUACCCGCUGAACUUAAGCAUAUCAAUAAGCGGAGGA